ACAGUGGCGGUUCUACAUUGAAAUACACCCUGGGCGAGACCCCUUUCGAGCCCCCCCUGUGGCUUAUAUCUGGGGGCCAGCUAGCAGGGUCUGUUGACAGAGGCUCAUCCUCACCAGUGGGGCUCAGUGGGGGUUCAGCUCCAGGCAUUUCUAUCAGACAGCAUAUUGGCAUAUUACUCAAAACACAUUGCAGUGAAAAAACAUAGUCCUACUCAUAAAUUAUCAGAAAUAUUAAAAUUACAUUAAAUUGCAGUUGUCCAGUUGUCUUGUAGCCUACACACACACACACACACACACGAUAUGCACACCUGAAAGCUCAUGCUGGGGAGAAGUAGAGGCAAAGAGGUCUUCAUCCUCAAUAUCAGAUAUUUGUGGAGACAUAUGUGUAGCGGAGGAGGUUGUUGGCUCAUCCUGACCAGUGGCAGAGGAUGCUCCAAAAUAUUUUAGAAGUGCCCCUGAAAUUGCAAUUGAAUUGCAUUUGAAAUCAAAAGACCAUAGGAUAAUGUUUUAUAAAGCUAAAACAGCCUGGGGUCAAAUUGACUCAAAACAUAAUAGAAGGGUUACAUAAACAUGCUCUUACACACUAAAUGUCUGUCAUUAAACGCUAUAUCCU
Carassius carassius (crucian carp) is the source of this 613-nucleotide long non-coding RNA. RefSeq lists it as uncharacterized. NCBI's taxonomy places the organism in Eukaryota, Metazoa, Chordata, Actinopteri, Cypriniformes, Cyprinidae. The transcript has 3 exons. The record is from RefSeq and is a predicted model, not a curated record.